UACGUAGGUGGCAAGCGUUGUCCGGAAUUAUUGGGCGUAAAGCGCGCGCAGGUGGUUUCUUAAGUCUGAUGUGAAAGCCCCCGGCUCAACUGGGGAGGGUCAUUCGAUACUGUUCGACUCGAAGGCAGGAGAGGGAAGCGGAAUUCCCGGUGUAGUGGUGAAAUGCGUAGAUAUCGGGAGGAACACCAGUGGCGAAGGCGGCUUCCUGGCCUGUUCUUGACGCUGAGGCGCGAAAGCUAGGGGAGCAAACGGG
This 253-nucleotide ribosomal RNA is filed under the name uncultured bacterium. RNAcentral describes it as "partial 16S ribosomal RNA". It matches the Rfam family "Bacterial small subunit ribosomal RNA", at positions 524 to 776 of the family's 1533-position model. The record is from RNAcentral.